AGUCGACGGAUCCUUCGGGAUUUAGUGGCGGACGGGUGAGUAACACGUAAGAACCUGCCUCUAGGACGGGGACAACAGUUGGAAACGACUGCUAAACCCGGAUGAGCCGAAAGGUAAAAGAUUUAUCGCCUGGAGAGGGGCUUGCGUCUGAUUAGCUAGUUGGUAAGGUAAGAGCUUACCAAGGCGACGAUCAGUAGCUGGUCUGAGAGGAUGAUCAGCCACACUGGGACUGAGACACGGCCCAGACUCCUACGGGAGGCAGCAGUGGGGAAUUUUCCGCAAUGGGCGAAAGCCUGACGGAGCAAGACCGCGUGGGGGAGGAAGGUUCUUGGAUUGUCAACCCCUUUUCUCAGGGAAGAACUCAAUGACGGUACCUGAGGAAAAAGCAUCGGCUAACUCCGUGCCAGCAGCCGCGGUAAUACGGGGGAUGCAAGCGUUAUCCGGAAUGAUUGGGCGUAAAGAGUCCGUAGGUAGCCAAUCAAGUCUGCUGUUAAAGAGCGAGGCUUAACUUCGUAAAGGCAGUGGAAACUGGAAGGCUAGAGUGUAGUAGGGGCAGAGGGAAUUCCUGGUGUAGCGGUGAAAUGCGUAGAGAUCAGGAAGAACACCGGUGGCGAAGGCGCUCUGCUGGGCUGUAACUGACACUGAGGGACGAAAGCUAGGGGAGCGAAUGGGAUUAGAUACCCCAGUAGUCCUAGCGGUAAACGAUGGAAACUAGGUGUGGCCUGUAUCGACCCGGGCCGUGCCGAAGCUAACGCGUUAAGUUUCCCGCCUGGGGAGUACGCACGCAAGUGUGAAACUUCAAAGGGAAUUUGACGGGGGGCCCGCACAAGCGGUGGGAGUAUGUGGUUUUAAUUCGAUGCCAACGGCGAAGAAUCUUAACCAGG
This 884-nucleotide ribosomal RNA is filed under the name uncultured bacterium. RNAcentral describes it as "bacterial SSU rRNA". It matches the Rfam family "Bacterial small subunit ribosomal RNA", at positions 60 to 979 of the family's 1533-position model. The record is from RNAcentral.